RNAcentral lists this ribosomal RNA (512 nucleotides) under uncultured bacterium. Its description in RNAcentral is "partial 16S ribosomal RNA". It matches the Rfam family "Bacterial small subunit ribosomal RNA", at positions 28 to 507 of the family's 1533-position model. The record is from RNAcentral.
GAUGAACGCUGGCGGCGUGCCUAAUACAUGCAAGUCGAACGAAACUUCUUUAUCACCGAGUGCUUGCACUCACCGAUAAAGAGUUGAGUGGCGAACGGGUGAGUAACACGUUGGCAACCUGCCCAAAAGAGGGGGAUAACACUUGGAUACAGGUGCUAAUACCGCAUAACCAUAGUUACCGCAUGGUAACUAUGUAAAAGGUGGCUAUACUACCGCUUUUGGAUGGGCCCGCGGCGCAUUAGCUAGUUGGUAGGGUAAAGGCUUACCAAGGCAAUGAUGCGUAGCCGAAUUGAGAGGUUGAUCGGCCACAUUGGGACUGAGACACGGCCCAAACUCCUACGGGAGGCAGCAGUAGGGAAUCUUCCACAAUGGGCGAAAGCCUGAUGGAGCAACGCCGCGUGGGUGAAGAAGGUCUUCGGAUCGUAAAACCCUGUUGUUAGAGAAGAAAGUGCGUGAGAGUAACUGUUCACGUUUCGACGGUAUCUAACCAGAAAGCCACGGCUAACUACGUG